UAUAAAUAGAGGAGGAACCUGCUCCCCAUUUCCACCACAAUCAGUUUCCAAAGAAAAGUUAAGUUUAUAUACGGAGUAGCUCACAAUAACCUCUCGCCUCCUUUCCUUUGUUCUCACGCUGAACCACCGCCACCACCGCGGCUCUGCCGUCGUCCAAAAUAAUACCACCACCCUAAAAAUCUUCCGUUUUCCUCCACCCAAAUAUAUUCAUCCAUUACUCUCAAACAUCAAGCUCUAAUUGUAGAACUCCAUUGCCGAAACCGAACAUCAAAACACGCACACACUCUCCUAAGCUCUCUCUCUUCAGACACGGACCACCUCCACUGCCGCCCAGACCACCGGUCCUGCCGCUCAGUCGUGCCGGCAAGACCUUUCUGUCCCCACCUGAACUCCUCCUUGCUCUAUCCUGUGGCGGCCGUUAACUCACGCAACCCAACCCCUUCUUCCGUCGUGCUUCCUUGUUUCAUGAAACCAAAAAAAAAAAAAAAAAAACUCUGUUUUGGUUUCCUUUUCUAAGUGUACAAUACACUUAUGCAUUACUAAAGUCAACCUUUCUUUUUUAGACACUAAGCCAAUUUUAAAUAUCCGGUUCUUGAAGCUCAGGAAGAACGGUCCAUCGAACAGGAAGUAUAAACUACGGUUGAGGUACGAAGAAGAUCAUGGGAUGCCUUAGAGUGAGGAUGCAACCACCAAAUUCACGAUCGAUGUUUAGUAAAGAUAACUAUGUCAUUAGUAAUAAAGGGAUGUAUUAUUUAAAGUCUAAGUUUGAUUUCAUGAUUUGAGUUAGAUUUUAAUAUUAAUGUUUAAUCAGAUGUUAAAAGUGUUUAUUAUUAAAGUUUCUUUAGUAAUUUAAAAAGGUUAUGUCGCCUUGUAUUUCCCACGAGGGAGAUACGGCAGUGACACUCCGACUAAAUUAGGGUUUCCGCUGCUAAUUAAAGAUAAUUAACCUAAUUUAUGGUGUUUAGAAUUCGGGGCGUUACAGUUUGGUAUUCAGAGCAAAGGUUCUGCGACCAUAAGUGCUAAACCUUACGGGUUUUGCACGAAAUAAAAUUCAAUAGGCUUUAAGCAAAGAGGUUUAAGGAAUAAGUUAAAAAGAAUAUGUUAAAAUCAAGUCAAGUUAAAAUGGAAUGAGUGUGAGUGUAGGAACGGGAUUAAAGGGAUUUAUUCUUCUGUUAUUUAUGUUUUCUUGAUUGAAUAUGUUAUGCAAAUAUCGACUAUCGAGGUUACUAACGAUGCCACGAACGAAGCUUAUAAGCGCAACGUUCACGAUGACGUCGUCCACAAUGAUGUUUUCCAUGAUGAUAUUUAUGACGACCAACUUAUAGAAGACCACAAGAGAUUAUGGAACGAUUAGGAACGACAAGUACGAUGUUAACUGAAUUAGUCAAAGAUUCUCGGAAAACGAAAGACACUAAGCGAAAGAAAAUGCGUCACUAUUCGGGAAAAAAAAAAAAAAAAAAAAUUCACCCUCGAAUCCACCAAUCUAUGACGACAAGCCCGAUUCGAUGGAACUUGAAAAAUGGAUCAAUCAGAUAGAUCAACUAUUCGAAACUUUGCAAUGCCCGAUGAAUAGGAAGUAAGUGUCGUGCAGAAACGAAUACGUGUUAUCGAUGUGGAGGAAAGAUCAUUUCGUCAGAGACUGUCAUAAACCACCUUUCACGAAUACAGGAGGAGCAACCUCAGCUCGACCGAUCACGGACGAAGCAACGAUGCUAAGGUUAAUCAUAAUCCAUCACGACCACCAACAUAUGUAAGAGCUUACAUGAUGAAAGACGAAGAUGACGCCAAUGCUGAUAUUAUUUUAAUUUAUCUCUCUUACUCUGGAACCGAACUUCCCUUGAUUUCACGUUUAUCAAGUUUCCUACCCUGGACAGACUACGCAAAGUUUAAGCAUUACUGUUUUCUUGGAAGAAGUUAAGUUAAGCACGAUGCGAACUCAAAGAAUUUGUGGAUAUGAAUUGUUUUGAGGAACUUUUAUGUUUAUGAAAUCUUUAAGGAUGAUAUUAAUGUUAGAGUACCAAACGAGCAUAAGGUUGUAUUUCGUGAGUGGUGGAUCAUUAAUUAAGUAAAGGUUAUUCUAGGUUUAAAGUGCUCAAGUUAAGAAUGAAAUUGAUUUUAGGGUUAUCUUCCUGUGUUAUUCAUGAUGAAUAUUUUGGUGUUUAUAAGAACAAAAGUCUACUAUCUAAAUGAUGAUUGAUAUGCCUCUGUUAAGGAAGCUAAGCUAGAAAUUUUAAAGGUUAUGCAAGAAUAUUAUGCGAAAUCGAGCAUGAUUUAUGGUGAAAAUAUGAAAGUGGGUUUGCAUAUAAAGUUUUGAGGACCUUACCAAAAGAAGUUAUUAAUAAUUAGUUUGUCUAUCAGGUUGAUGAUAUCAAUGAAUGUUAUGAAAUUCCAAAUGAAUUAUGAAUAUAAUGAUUGAGGAAUGCAAUGGAAUUGAGAAUAGGAAAUCGACAAAAUGACAUGUCUAUAAAACCAGGUAGUAUGAACUAAGUUUUCUGGAAGAUAGAUUGUUUCUGAUAAAGGCACACUUGAUGACUUAGCAUUAUCCGCAAAAUACGAGGGUUGUCUACCUGAAAUACUAAGAAUAAGUAACGAAGUCGUAUGUCCAACGAUGUAUUUUCUGUUGCGUGAUUGACUCGAACCCCUGCAACGAACGUAGUCAACGAAGUUAUUCAACGUAGAAGAAAAGAUCGGAGAUCGAAAUCAAAACGAAUCGAAUAAAGAAAGUCAACGACAAGAUUCCUGCAGCAAAGAAGCUCAAGAAUGAACGAAAACGCAAUAUCUCCAAUUAGUCGCCUAAGAAUGAUAUAAUGUACGAAUCACGAUGUUUUAUGUAAACGUAUUGUGAAUCAACCAUGCUCAUGUGUUAGAUCAAAUGAUUAUGAUAUGAAUGUUAUGCUUAUGUUGAAUGUGAAAUUUUCAAUUAAUGAAUUAUGUCUUUAUGAUAUGCUUUAUGGAUUAUGUUUAUGCUGACAUGAUAGUAUUGGUAAUGUAAUCGUUAUACAUGGAAGCCGACCUCGAUGGAAGUUCUCCUGAGCUCAGAGUACGAGAUUGUUAUAAUAAAUUAUUUUUACAAAUUAUUUGACUAUUAUAAAUUGUUAGAUAAAUAUUUAUUUUCAUUAUAGAUAUAUCUUCAGAAUUUUAAUUUUGUAUUAAAAAUUACUAUUUUGGUGGAAAACAUUUUCAAACGGGAUCUCACAAAGUAAAAUGUGAGCUUAGUCUAUGCUAACAAGUUUGCCCCUUUUUAUGUCCUUUGCUCCUCGAUCCUAUUUUUAUGAAGUAAAGUGGAGAUACGAAAGAUGAUGACGGAAUUUGAUUGACCUUAAUGACGAUUAAGGAUCAACAUAUAAUUUUGCCCCUUUUGUAUUCUUUACUCUUCGAUUCUAGGUCUCGAGUUGAAGCGGAGUCAUAAAAGAAGAUGGCGAAAUGAAGGCUAGAUGUUGUCGGAAUUAAAAUGAAAUUGUGAGAUCUUGGUUUUAAAAAUAAAACAUCAUACUUUUACUCGAAUAUUUUCGAUUUUCAACAAUCAUUUUAUACGUCUAGUUUUCAAGUUUCGAGGACGAAACUUUUUCUAAGGGGGAAAGAAUGUAAUACCCCGAAUUUUAAAAACUUGAUUAAUUAUGCUAAAUUACUUUUAUUUAGCUUAAAACCGUUUUAAAUCCUAAUUUCAAACUUUAUUUCAAUUAACGAAGUUUUAAUGCGAUUGAGUUUUAAUAUUGUUACACGAUUUAUUUUUUUCAGAUUUUAUAAUUUAAUUUUUUUUUACGAGCUUAAACUACCUUCUUAAAUCUUAUUUAUUUCGAAUUUUUAAUUUCGGAACGUUCUUAUUUUAUUCGAAAACUAAAUUUAUUUUAUGUUAUCGAUAUUUUAUAAAGAAUUAUUUGAAAAUCUGAUUUUAAUUAAACAUUUCUAUUUAUAUAGGAUUCCUAAAUAUAGCAAAGGAAUUUCUGAAUUUUACCCAACUUUGAAAUAACCCAAAAUGCUAGAUAAAAAAAAAAAAGAGGAAAAAGAAAAAAAAACUCAUCCCCUAGCUUCCUCCCCCUUCUCCCACGUGUAUGUGUAGAACAAGGGUCAAAUUUUACUUGUUUCUUUGACUCCUCUUUACCCCAAAUUCAGUCCAAGUUCAUUUUCUUGACCCCCAAGUACCUCUCCUUCUUCCUUACUCUACUUCCAUGGUGAGGUCAUGAAUGAUGUCCAUUGAAUUCCAAUUACCUUAUAAAUAGAGGAGGAACCUGCUCCCCAUUUCCACCACAAUCAGUUUCCAAAGAAAAGUUAAGUUUAUAUACGGAGUAGCUCACAAUAACCUCUCGCCUCCUUUCCUUUGUUCUCACGCUGAACCACCGCCACCACCGCGGCUCUGCCGUCGUCCAAAAUAAUACCACCACCCUAAAAAUCUUCCGUUUUCCUCCACCCAAAUAUAUUCAUCCAUUACUCUCAAACAUCAAGCUCUAAUUGUAGAACUCCAUUGCCGAAACCGAACAUCAAAACACGCACACACUCUCCUAAGCUCUCUCUCUUCAGACACGGACCACCUCCACUGCCGCCCAGACCACCGGUCCUGCCGCUCAGUCGUGCCGGCAAGACCUUUCUGUCCCCACCUGAACUCCUCCUUGCUCUAUCCUGUGGCGGCCGUUAACUCACGCAACCCAACCCCUUCUUCCGUCGUGCUUCCUUGUUUCAUGAAACCAAAAAAAAAAAAAAAAAAACUCUGUUUUGGUUUCCUUUUCUAAGUGUACAAUACACUUAUGCAUUACUAAAGUCAACCUUUCUUUUUUAGACACUAAGCCAAUUUUAAAUAUCCGGUUCUUGAAGCUCAGGAAGAACGGUCCAUCGAACAGGAAGUAUAAACUACGGUUGAGGUACGAAGAAGAUCAUGGGAUGCCUUAGAGUGAGGAUGCAACCACCAAAUUCACGAUCGAUGUUUAGUAAAGAUAACUAUGUCAUUAGUAAUAAAGGGAUGUAUUAUUUAAAGUCUAAGUUUGAUUUCAUGAUUUGAGUUAGAUUUUAAUAUUAAUGUUUAAUCAGA
Spinacia oleracea (spinach) is the source of this 5023-nucleotide long non-coding RNA. RefSeq lists it as uncharacterized. The transcript is spliced from 5 exons. Lineage: Eukaryota; Viridiplantae; Streptophyta; Magnoliopsida; Caryophyllales; Amaranthaceae. The record is from RefSeq and is a predicted model, not a curated record.